CUUUAUUAAAGUAUGACUGAUAUAAAAUAAGACUGCACACAGGGAACAUAUACUGUUUGAUAUUAGUUUGGAUAUAUGCGUAUACCCAUGAUGUCAUCACUACAAUCAAGGACUAAGCCAAAUGGGUGAGUGAUUGUCUAUUACUCUGAAACCAAGCGUCUGGGAAAUAAUGGAAACUUCUGAGGCUGUAUCAGAGACUGAAGUCAAGCGGUUGAUUCUACAGAACUUUGUCCUACUUCACUCAGGGGUCUCCCAGGCGACUGCUGCUUCUUUACACAUACACUAUCUUGCUUUGGCUACUCAGCAGAAUUGAAGUCACUGCCUUGACAGGCUGGAACUAGAUUUCCUCACUACCUGCAUACUCUGCAAAUGACAUUUUUCAUGAAAUAGAUUCCCUUCUCAGUGAUUUGGGUCCUGGACUCCUGGGAGCUGCUAUUCAUAGAAGAUUGAGCAAAAGCCUUUUUCAAAUGCAUUAGCACACAUUUUCUUUCAAAAUAGAAAGAUGCUUAGAAAUGUUACAAUAAUUAAAAUUUAAUUGUGUAACGAAAGGUGGUAACUAUCUUUUUAAUUAAACAGAUUUGAUUAGGUACCACCAUAGGAAAUUAAUUGUUAUAGUUACUGAGAUACAAAAAAGAAAAAAAAACGGAAUAAAAGAAAG
This 658-nucleotide long non-coding RNA is filed under the name Homo sapiens (human). RNAcentral describes it as "HSALNT0209988". Lineage: Eukaryota; Metazoa; Chordata; Mammalia; Primates; Hominidae. The record is from RNAcentral.